AAGUCGUAACAAGGUUUCCGUAGGUGAACCUGCGGAAGGAUCAUUACAAAUCAGUGGGGUGGAGGAAGGGAGAGGUUAGUGGAGCUUAGGCUAGCUGACCCAGCCCAACACCUACCCCAACAUUGGCACAGAGCCGCAAGGCUCUGAUGUUUACGCUUGUUUGUUUGACAGAUUUAUGUAACAGAGAAUAUAGACAACUUUUAACAAUGGAUCUCUUGGCUCUU
RNAcentral lists this unclassified non-coding RNA (224 nucleotides) under fungal sp. RNAcentral's name for it is "partial internal transcribed spacer region". The stretch from base 1 to 46 matches the Rfam family "Eukaryotic small subunit ribosomal RNA", at positions 1786 to 1831 of the family's 1831-position model. The record is from RNAcentral. Lineage: Eukaryota; Fungi.